UCUCCGUUGGUGAACCAGCGGAGGGAUCAUUACAGAGUUCCACAACUCCCAACCCCUGCGAACCGUACCCCAGUUUUCUCUCGUUGCCUCCUGACGGCGGGCCCCCGGCGCCACCGCCGCGGCCCCCGCCAUCGGCCGCGAGCCCCCUGAACCUUUUUUUCUCAACCAGCACGUCUGAGCAAACAAACAAAUGAAUCAAAACUUUCAACAACGGAUCUCUUGGUUCUG
This 228-nucleotide unclassified non-coding RNA is filed under the name plant metagenome. Its description in RNAcentral is "partial contains small subunit ribosomal RNA, internal transcribed spacer 1, and 5.8S ribosomal RNA". The record is from RNAcentral.